Molecule: long non-coding RNA, 702 nt
Filed under: Chrysemys picta bellii (western painted turtle)
Lineage: Eukaryota; Metazoa; Chordata; Testudines; Emydidae
Description: lncRNA (ENSCPBG00000016258.1)
Source: RNAcentral
UAGCUGAACAUCACGGCCAGGAGAGAGUACGACAGUGAUUUCCUCGAGGUCGAGGAGCUGCGGGUGAAUCAGUCGGUCACCAAGUACCUGCUGCAGCCCUGGAGACACGGGACCAACUACUCGGUGACAAUCCAGGGCCUCACGGCUGCCGGCCUUGGGCAGGCGUCACGCUGGGACUUUGAAACCAACUUCUUUGACACAUGCAGGAGGCAGGGACCCUGGACCACGAAUGUGACCUUUCCCUCCGAGCUGACGGUGUUUUGGGUGAAUGACACGGUGCUGGUGACGUGCCCCGAGAAGCCUGAACCCGGCCCGUUCCCUGCAAACUGCACAGAGCUGAAGGACCGCGGGGCAGUCUGGGAUAUCAGUGGAGUCAAGUGUCUCAGGAUGUGCAAUGACUGGAUGAGGCACGUGGAUUUUGACCCUGCACAGACGGAGUUCGGUGUCGGCGCCAAGGGUCGGGUGACCUGUCGUCAGGAGUUCCAGCAGGACUCGUUCAGUGUGACGUGCAGAGAGAUGGAGUCGGGACGAUUCGAGUGGGAUUCGGGUGCACACACGUGUGUCAGAAAAUGUGAAAUACCCAGAACCUGGGACUCCAGAUUGCAGUUUGCCCCCAAGAGGCAGUUCUACUCCCCGGGUGAACUGGUGACACUGAGCUGCCCAGAGGGACAUCGGCCAUCACCACCUGUGAUAGUAUGUGCC